Molecule: ribosomal RNA, 226 nt
Filed under: uncultured bacterium
Lineage: Bacteria
Description: partial 16S ribosomal RNA
Rfam family: Bacterial small subunit ribosomal RNA
Source: RNAcentral
GCGAUACUCGGAAUCACUAGGCGUAAAGCGCAGGUAGGCGGUUCGGUAAGUCUUUUGUGAAAGCUCCUGGCUCAACUGGGAGAGGUCAAAGGAAACUACCGGGCUAGAGUGUGGUAGGGGAUACUGGAAUUCCUGGUGUAGCGGUGAAAUGCGUAGAUAUCAGGAGGAAUACCUAUGGCGAAAGCAGGUAUCUGGGCCAUCACUGACGCUGAGCUGCGAAAGCUAG